RNAcentral lists this ribosomal RNA (339 nucleotides) under marine copepod environmental sample. Its description in RNAcentral is "SSU rRNA". It matches the Rfam family "Eukaryotic small subunit ribosomal RNA", at positions 587 to 972 of the family's 1831-position model. The record is from RNAcentral. Lineage: Eukaryota; Metazoa; Arthropoda; Copepoda.
AGCUCCAAUAGCGUAUAUUAAAGUUGUUGUGGUUAAAAAGCUCGUAGUUGGAUUUCGGCGGGUAGUGGUUGGUUUGAAUUGAUUCAACACUGACUUUUUUACCCGUGUGUUUUGCCAGAAUCUUACGGGUGAUCUUUACCGAUUGUCCGUUGGAACUGGCAGGUUUACUUUGAAAAAAUUAGAGUGCUCAAAGCAAGCUUACUGCUUGAAUAGUUGCGCAUGGAAUAAUAGAAUAGGAAGUCGUUUCUAUUUUGUUGGUUUUCGGAAAUCGACAGAGGUGAAAUUCUUGGACCGUUUGAAGACGAACUAAGGCGAAAGCAUUUGCCAAGAAUGUUUUCA